GUUUUUGAGAUGCUUUCUUGUGUUACAUGACUUUUGCUAGUAAUUUGGAACGAUUGUCUCUUGCUUAAUUUAUGAAAGCAAAAGUUGGUUGAUUUUCUAUAAGAUAGUUGAAGCAACCAGCUCUUGAAGAAAUGUAGCUCUCUGCCUUUUCUCUUCAAAAUCCUCUUCUAGUUCUGGAUCAGAUACAGCUAGCUUGCUGCUUUCUAUUUCAGGAAUAGCAGUAUCACAAACAGAGGACUUAUCUUGCUGCCUGCAUUUCAGAUCAGAAGGAGGAAAAUUGCAGAGAAAUGGCAAUAAAAGUGGAUCAGGAGCAGAUUCUUGAACCUUAUAUCGACCAAAUACUGAAUCUGUGCCAAAAAAUGAAGCUAUUUCUCGAGGAUCCUUUCCGAUCAUAGCUGUUGCAUUAUUCCAGAAGCCUGGUUUUAGGUAAUUUCUUCUCCUCUUUACUGAGUGUGCAUGUUGCACAGAAAAAUGUCCAGUAGGAUCUUUGCCCAGAGUUGCAGCACAUAUGGGACAGACCGCGUUUUUUAAGUCAAAACAAUGUUCUUCUUGCAAAUGGCUGCAAAGCAUUGGCACUUCUAUUUCGCCAUAACAGAAAGGGCAAGGGAACCAAGCUCUAAUGGCUUCUUCAGCUUCAUUCAAGAAAGAAUCAGAAUUGCUUAAAUUGGUACAUUGAAAGGUAGAAAGAUUAUUGGCUGAGUUUUCUCUUGUAGUCCAAAAUUCCACAUCCAUCUUCUAAUUAUUAUUUUUGGACAAA
RNAcentral lists this unclassified non-coding RNA (757 nucleotides) under Hevea brasiliensis (rubber tree). The record is from RNAcentral. Lineage: Eukaryota; Viridiplantae; Streptophyta; Magnoliopsida; Malpighiales; Euphorbiaceae.